CUUUCAUCCCUGGAUGUCACUGGGGCUCCCUUGCUGAGUGAAUUUUGGCAUUUUGGUGGGGAUGGGAGGAGCCUGAGAUCCAAGAUGUACAGGAUCCAGGCCUUCCGCAGCUGCUGUCUGCUGGGAUUUGAUGGGAAUCCUGAGACCUGGACCCCGAGUGACCAGCCUGAGAGCUGUGAAUGCCUGGGUACCCAGGACCUUAUCCUGGAUCUUCUCCUCUCCCAUACCUUCUACUGUAUCAGAUCCAGGCUCUGAAUAAGCUGAGCUUUCCCAUGUAUUCCCGUGUGGACCAG
This 293-nucleotide long non-coding RNA is filed under the name Bos taurus (domestic cattle). Its description in RNAcentral is "long non-coding RNA NONBTAT007481". Lineage: Eukaryota; Metazoa; Chordata; Mammalia; Artiodactyla; Bovidae. The record is from RNAcentral.